GUGUCGCUGGGAGGAGAGGUGAGGGCACUAAGGGCAGCGCAGCGGCGGGAAAGGAGGUAGGGGCGGGGACAGCGCUCGGGGAGAAGAAGGGGUAGGGUGGCUGUAGUAGGAGAUGGCGAGAGGAGCAACACUCAGCGAGGUCCAGCGUCUCCUACUAUACGUAGGCCUAGACGCGUCAACUCCACUCCUUGCCUCCACCCCCCUUCCUCGUCGCUACGACCACUGGUCAGUCCCCUGCCUCCACCUCCUUCCUCAUCGUUCCGACCACUACCCGGUCCCCGGUGGUCUCCUACGUCUUCCCCCUGCUGCAGCGCGAAGAGCGGUGGAGGUGUAGGAGGAAUAGUCGCCGCCGCGUUGAGGUCGUCCCUUCCCCCUGCUGCGACGCGAAGACUACGACCAAGUGUACGUCCAAAGUCUCUCAUCGUGGUACGUAACGUACUACUGACACCCACUAGAAACGUUCUGUUACGAAAACUCAUAGCACUUAAUACCAGUAAGAGUUUUCCCAAUUAGUCAGUAGACAAGCAGACAUAACGAUGAGCCCCUCCAUUCAAGAAGGAACGAGUAGAGUAUAAGCUGUUUAAGUACACUUGACUCUACUGAGAGGUACUCGACCGGUUCCACUAAGUGCGAUUCCUUCGUCGGCUGUCACGUUCUGAGACGAUAAUCUUGCCGACUUCCUCUCAUACGUCUAGAAGUCAUAGAAGCUGUCCAAAAACAAGACAAUGUUCGCGAUUACCGGAUAAAAGUAAAACAACUUGAUACUAACAAAGACAUACGAAGAAGAGAUUUUCGUUUAACAUAAGACAAUAUCAAUGUCAGUCACACCCGGACUUUUAAGUGUAGUGGUUUUCUUAACAUCUUAAACUAUUCUCUUAACAAAGAAUUAUUCAUUUAUUCUAUGUUUAUGUCACAGAUUGUAACUACCUUACUUGGACGACGUUCUCCGUUAUUUUCACUGCUACGAACUAAAAUAAUUAACUGUCCUACUUUAUAAUUCAUCAUUCUAUUUACACUCGUAAGUGGAUUAAACAAAAAAUGGAUAACUUUACCCAUCAACCAGUGCAUAACAGUUGAACCAUGUAAGUCACACGCACAAGUCCAAAAUCCUACUUUAAAUUAGGUUCUAGUAAUGAAGUACAAAAGGAUGCAAAUACAACCGUAGAAACUGAAACUAUACAAGUAACGUGAGAUAACCAAGACUACGGUGUUUCACUGACACGAAACAAUCAUGUAGAUACCUAUGAAUACGAAAUAAGUUCUGUGUUAGUCAAAGAAAAAGGAAACAUUUAUCAGACAUCUAUAUCGCAACCGGACUCGGGGAUUUCACAGCAUAUGAUAAAGGACGUACGAGUAAAAGAGAAAUAUAAGUUAAGUACACGGAAUCGUUGUUAGAUUCAAUUUCUGUUGUCCUUAUUUAUAAUCAACAAAGUAGAUACCGGAGCAGUAAAUCGAAAAUGAAUUUGACUUAUUUUUUUAACAUAUUAAAGUUAUAUAUGAUAAAUUACAAAACGGUUCUGAGAGUAUCACACAAUUUUUAAAUUUAUAUAUUGAUACGUUAUUGUUUCAAUAUUUAACUAGGUCACAAAGCAUACUUCCUAAGCUAAUCACAUAAACAUUACGUCAAAACACUAAGUCAUAGCAGCACCAUCAAGUUUCUGGGUUCCACUCUAGCAGUAUAAACUAAAGAAUCAAGGAUCCAGUGUUUAGUAGACGAUAGCGGUUGUAAGCUCAACAGGUAGGUAGGUAGAUAGAUACCACGCGAGCGGUUGGUGUAGGAGACAAGUCUAAAACUCACACCGUUGUCCAGUAGUCAACAUCACAGUUUAUGUUCUAAUUCGAUAAACUUAGAACGGUAUACCAUCUGGAUGCUCGUCUUGUUUUUUUUUUAUAUUGAAUACGACCAAUCUUGUUUACGAGUCGAGCGGAACAAAAAAAGAAAAAACGGAGAAAAACCAGGACAAGUCUCCUCUACAAUUUACAACCAACUACAGACGUAUAGCGGAACAUAAAUUACUUUUAUUCCAGGAAGCUACCUAUAGGUACCGAAAGUCAAAAUGAACGUCGGUUACUUAUAUCAAUACCGUGAACAACGGAACAACGCGACAAGUUACUAAUAGUCCUAAAAUUGUGGAUGUGAUAUAUAGGAUCCAUUUGGUGUACCACAACAAAAGUUUAGUAUACAAACAGGAUCCAUUUGGUGUCCUUAAAUACUUGAAAGAACCGGCGAAAUAAUCUUGAUGCCCAAACAUUAUACGAGGCCAAAAUAGUGAAAUACUCAUACAUAUACCAUCCCUCGUCGUGGGCACAUUCGCUCUUUUGAACAACCAACGGACGUAUAGUACACUAUCAAAAACCGAUGAUAAGACGAGUACAAAGGUACUUGGGUAAAUACUAAGCUUCGUCAGUCCGGAGAGAGAAGGAAGAUUAAAAAGGUACUUGUGGUACCGGCGGAAGCGGCUCUCGCGGGCGUAGAAGUAGGUAACGGAGAGACGGUCCAGACGUGUCUUUAUGUAAAUCAGGAGUUUUUACAAUUUACUUCUGCGGGACUACUACGAUUUCGUAAAGAUUUAGACUUCAUAGCUCCUUCAAUUGUUGUACCUUACAUACUGCGAUUCACGAGACACCAUGUCUACCAAAUCAUCAUGGUAUGAUGGAACUAAUCUACGAAUAUUGACACUGUACAAGGUACUUAUGAAGACAAUGCAUAUCGAUACCGACGGGUUGUUCGCCACUCGGAUUCUUGGGGCAGCCUACAAGUAACGUAUAUCGAGCCCUCCGUCUGUUCUCCUUGGUUCGCCUAGAGGAAGGUACUGCCGUUGGGUUCGUCUUGGUUUUAGAAGGUGCACCGCCGUCGGUAAUCACUCUAGACCUCCCCUCGUCGUCGGCGCCGGAGCUAGGCCUCUUCCCCUCGUCGUCGCGGGGAGAAGAAGCGUGCACCGCCGGAACGCGUCGACGGAGGUAGGGUGCGCACGUCGACGGUGUACUUCCGUUCGCUCGUGUGUACUUUAUCUAUACCGUUCACCUAAAGGAGAGUGGAGUUGUGAGUGACUUAAGUCAUGGUCUUCUUCGGACGAUACGGUGACUAAAACGUGAUGACCACAUUUAUAACUCUUGAUAUACUUGGCUACGUGGAACACCAGACCUUUAUACGAGGACUAACACACCUAUAAACGUCGAAGUCUUAAUAAAAUAAGAAUCGGUAUACAGUAGUUCCACGUCGACGAGUAUACUAAAGGUGAGCGAUACCUUAAUCCUCUUCAGUCAAUGAACUAGACUGACAAAUUUCAAGGUGCCAAAAAGUUAUAUACAAUUGAUACAAGUCUCUAGAUUUUCUGAUAGUCCGAUGUGGUUAAGACUUACGUCAAACUUUCGAACAAAGUGCUUCACUCAUACGUUCUAUUGAAGUCCGUUUCACAUGUCUCCGACGUCGACUUCGGCCUGAAACUACGAACGUUCAACCACCUAGUGGUCAAUAAUAGUCCAAGUUAGGGAAACGGUACAUUAUGACACCGCUGUAACAGACAAUACAUAUUAACACGUGUGUCCAAAGACAACCUUGUUAGUGACUUUUGCUACUAUCUGAAACAGAGUGUACACAGCGAGUGACUACUCUUGAUCUGACUUCACUUAACACGAUCUCUUCCUCACCGGCCCUUUCAUGUGGUCACUACGGGAUGUUCCGCUCGUCUUCUUUCGAUUUCUCUACGAGGCACAUUAGGGAUUCUUCGUCUUUCCCUCGUUUUCUUGUCCAGGCGAAGUUCCCAUUUUAGGAGACAAAAAAAAAAGCUUUUCCUCCAAUAAGGGGCCGGAGACGUAGUCUUACUACGUACGCGGGUAGAAUAAUUAUUCGACUAUUUUAGUAGACAUUAGGGAUUAACACGAAAACACUUUUAUACAUCUAGUCAAACUACGACCUGUGCUAAUUAAAUGAUAACAACCAUGUACAUCUUCAUUAAGACCUAAUCGGUGUAACACCAAAGGAUGAUCCUUGACUUUAAUACGGGUCAAGUAACCGUACCAUAAUACAACUACAUGAGAGUAAUAGACGUAAUUACAAUUAUGAAGUC
Molecule: ribosomal RNA, 4070 nt
Filed under: Triticum aestivum (bread wheat)
Lineage: Eukaryota; Viridiplantae; Streptophyta; Magnoliopsida; Poales; Poaceae
Description: partial small subunit ribosomal RNA
Source: RNAcentral